RNAcentral lists this ribosomal RNA (460 nucleotides) under uncultured bacterium. RNAcentral describes it as "partial 16S ribosomal RNA". It matches the Rfam family "Bacterial small subunit ribosomal RNA", at positions 338 to 795 of the family's 1533-position model. The record is from RNAcentral.
CCUACGGGAGGCAGCAGUGAGGAAUAUUGCUCAAUGGGCGCGAGCCUGAACCAGCCAAGUAGCGUGACGGAUGACUGUCCUACGGGUUGUAAACUUCUUUUAUAAAGGAAUAAAUUUACGCACGUGUGCCUUUUUGUAUUUACUUUAUCAAUUAGGAUCGGCUAACUCCGUGCCAGCAGCCGCGGUAAUACGGAGGCUCCGAGCGUUAUCGGGAUUUAUUGGGUUUAAAGGGAGCGUAGAUGGGUUGUUAAGUCAGUUGUGAAAGUUUGCGGCUCAACCGUAAAAUUGCAAUUGAUACUGGCAGCCUUGAGUACAGUUGAGGUAGGCGGAAUUCGUGGUGUAGCAGUGAAAUGCUUAGAUAUCACGAAGAACUCCGAUUGCGAAGGCAGCCUACUAAACUGCCACUGACAUUGAUGCUCGAAAGUGUGGGUAUCAAACAGGAUUAGAUACCCUAGUAGUC